Molecule: long non-coding RNA, 4667 nt
Organism: Pseudopipra pipra
Lineage: Eukaryota; Metazoa; Chordata; Aves; Passeriformes; Pipridae
Exons: 4
Source: RefSeq, a predicted model, not a curated record
CCCGGCCGCCCGCUCUGUGGGAACGAGGCAGGACAUGGAUUCAGUGUCAGACCUCAGCCCUCCCACCUCCAGCAGCAAGACCUCAACGUUGGGCUCCACCUCUCCUUCCAGGCGGGAAGAGGAACCGAGCGUCCCGCUGGCAGCUGUGCUGCUCGGGAAGCGCCGGGAAAACACGUCCCUCCCGGCCCAAAGCUUUUCGAGAAACCCAAAGGUUGGGUUUGUUUGGGAGAAGUUUUUAACGACAGAGCUUGGAGAAUUUUUGAACAACAGCAGGUCAACAAAAGGCUGGGCAGGACUCCCCUGGGAUGACUCCGAGGGCAGUCGUUAUGGGAACGCCGGCUGUCAGCAUCCCCGGGGCUCUGUAUCCCGCCUGACUCCGGGGAAGCUCCUUCUGGAUCGCUAUCACAGCAUCCCUCUGGCUGCCACUUGAAGCGCCUUUGGAAGAUGAAUCAGAGCUUUGUUUCGAGUCUCCAGAGAAGUUAAAUCAGAGCUACUUGGAUCGGGGAGAGGCGGGAAUGAAAGGGGAGAAAAAUGUGAAGUAAAAAUAUCUGAGCGUGUGUCACCGAGGGCAGGCCCAGAACAAUCGCUGGCUGACAUUUCUGCUGCACACAAAACUCAUACAUUUGCCUCGUGUUUUUUUCUCUGCCGUUGCAAAUAUGAUAAAAAGCAGCUUUCCAGGGAAACCUAGAAACUGCCAGCGCUGCCACAAGUUUUAUAAUCUCUUCAUGUUGCACUUGUCUGGUGCCAUAUGUGUGGAAAUCUGUCUCGGAACCAACGUGCAUAUCUAAUCUGAACGGUGGUUUUGUUUAGGUCUCUCUCAUAUUUAGGAUAAUCUGGGAGAUGUGGCUGUUUGGAGCUAUCACUGAAAAAAAGAUGGAAAACAGGGAGCAUUUUUACAGUAGUUACUGGUCCCAUGGGAAAAGGAGGAUGUCUUUUUUUUAGGGACAUACUUGGAGUCAGUGGUUUUGGCUGGGUUAGGGUAGUUUUUAAAAAGCCCUGGUCACCACUGAAUUGUGGUUAAUGGUGAGAUCCCUUAAUAGACACGGAAUGACGUUGGCCAGGGUGGUUUUUGGACCUGCUGUCACUGGCCUUGUGCCCAGAGAAAUAAAUUAUAUUGCUGACAACAGUCUCAGAAGAAACAGAGCCGCCUUCCGGAACAUCACUGGGAAUAUCAGUGGCAUGGGCACGGGAUAACAGAUCCUCCAUGGAAAAACCCUCCUGAAGAAGCCAGUUUAAUUGCAAAGAAGAGCCAUAACAACUCCCAGCUGUGAAUGAUGGUGUGUUAUAUUAAAAUAACACAUUUUAAUUAAGGAUUUAUUCCUCGGAAGGAUUGCUUUUCGUUCCCUCAGUAGGCUGUCAUGUCUAAGCUCGUGGUAAGUCCUGAUCAAUCAGCUCACUGCUGCUGUGGGCAGGGUUGUGUUGGAUUCAGAAUACUGCAGUGGGAAAUCUGGGGCAACCUGGAAUCCACAUUAUUGAUCAUUGAGCUCCCAGGGAAGGGAACUGGGAGAUGAACUGGAAAAUACAGACUAUUCCUUGGGACUCACUGAGCUGCCACACCUUCACCACUCAAAGAGCACCUGAAUUCUGAGGUCAGUCACCUUUGCAAAAUGAGCCAAAACAAGAGAUGUCUUCAGGCUCAUUGCCACUGGUCUUUGCUGGUGAAAGCCCCCAGUCCUCUGGCUGCCACCUUUGUAAGUCCCAUCCUGUCCCUGGAUGUACCACCAGGGAUCUGGGGGGAUUCUCCACUGCUCGGACUCGUCACUCCCAGAGCUGCCAGUAAAAACUUCCCAUUUUCAGUUGGCUUUUUCACCCGGUGAUAUUGUUUUCAAAUUCGAUCCCUCCAGAGGUAUUUCCUGCCACUUGUUGCUGAAAUGUCACUAUGGACAAGCAUCAUAUUUUUCAGAAUAUUGCUGGAAAGUUCUGCUCUCCUCAGGGUCUGCAAGGGCUGGAACCAAGAGCAGCACCACUGAAUCUUCCUGCAAUACCCUGGUGGGUGUUGUCACCCUGCAAGGAGCAAUCUCCAGCUCCCUCUCUGUUAUUCCUUUGUAACGUGGCAAAAGUAGCCUUUGAAAAACCAGACCACACACAUGGACUCCCCCAAGCUUUGGGAUUUGCUGCUGGCUCGGUGUGUCACAGUUUAAAGCAUUCCCUAACGUUGUAUCCUAAUUAACUGAUUGGAUCUUCCACUGGCAGCUUUCCCCCCCUCCCUCUUAAUUACAUCAGGGGCUGUGCAGGCAGAUAAAGUGCUUCAUGAAACACAGACCCAGGUAAAGCACUGGAAUUAUUAACCAUUCAUUGACACAUUUGUGUCUCUGGAUGUAUAAAUUUAUGUAAGGUAUUCACAGGCAGGCAGGAAUUGCUCUUUAUGGAGGUGGGAUCAUGGCCAUGCAGAUAAACCUGCAGGGAAUUUGUAUUUGCUAGCACAAGCAUGUGCCCACCACUGCCAAAGGGCCGGGGGUCUCACACGUUUCUUCCAGCUCACAUUUCCUAAAAUCUCUCCUUGGAGCCCAGGGACAGCAGGGUCCUGCAAGGACACGGACCCCCUCCUCAUCCACAGCAGGAGGUGGGGAAAUGCAGCCAAAUUCUUCUGCACAAACACAGGCAGCAUGAAAUUCGGGCUGCUAAAGUCCCCACAAUAUGCAGGGAAGAAGCACUAAAUGCUAAAUAAAAAGGAAUAUUUAGCUUUUAAGCAGAGGGUGGCCAUGUAGAGCCCUUGGCACGGACCUCUGAAAACACACGUGGUCAAACUCAGAGAACUCCACUAAAUAGGGCAGGAAAAGCCCCUAAACCACCCUGACACGUGGAGUGGGAAUGGGGAUGGAAUCCUGAGCACAGAGUCCUGGAAAACCUACCCUGUGGCACCACGAACUGGCACUGGAAUAAGGGGAUGAGAAAAUUCGGGCAGGACUGUCCCAACCCUCCCAUCAGCUGACAACAAACCUUUGGUUAUAACCUGCUCCUGUCGAAAAUGAGCCACAUCAACAUUCCAUUCCCACAAGGAACCCCUUCCCAGGGAGGUGGUGGAGGCAGCUGCAGCAGGACUGCACUGCACACACUGCCUGAGAAACAAGAGAUGUUUAUAACCAGAAAAAAGGUCAUAUUUUCUAGACUCUGGACUAUUCCUGAUCCUCUCCCUGUUGUUUUCCCAGGUGUACUCCAUCCAACAAAAGGCUCCACCAUGACAACACAGAGCUUCAGGUGAUGCAAUUUGAGAAGAAUUUGAUAACGUGAGAACUCCUUGGCCAAUGAUCUGAGUGUUUAUUGUCCCAGUGAUGCAUUAAAAAAGGAAUUUAUUGUGAGCCCCGGGGUGGAACUAAACUAUGGAAAAGCUGGAAGGCACUGAACUGGCUUGUCCAGGGGCUGCAGCAAUCCAGGAGCACCCAGGUUGCAAGAGACCUUCAGGAUUGUGGGGUCCAACUGCACAGAUGCAGCUGUGGAAAGCACACACGGAGCCUGGGGCAGGUCCUGGAGGGCAGGGAAAAGGGACAAGCCCUGAAGAACCAGGAGCUGCCUCUGCAGGCUCUGUCUCCCAGUGUUUGCUCCGGAUUCCUGGAGUCUGACCCCUUCCAGCACCCUGGGAUGUGGAAUUAUGGCACUGCCAGCAGCUCCUUCCCAAAAAACAGGCUAAGACCUGCUUUCCUCUUCAGAAGGACCCAGAGCUGUGCCCACCAUGGGACAGGGAUCCCAGCUGGACAGAGGGCACCUGUGGAGAACUUCAGACCAAUGCCCUGGAUAUGGAAAAGGUCAGGACAAACCUCUGUCUGUGCCAUGUCCUGGGCUGGCCUCCUGGAAUCUCAUCCCCAGGUUCUCCCACCCCUCAUUUUGUGUGGCGUGUCAAAUUUUGUAAUGGAAUACAGGGAUAUGCUUUGGAAAUCCAAAUAUUAUCCCCCUGGACACUGGGUGGUGGUGGAAUCUAUUCUUGGUCGUACAGUCACCUCCGGUCCCACAAAACCUGACCCCACUCAUUCAUCUGCUUUGCAGUAUUAUCCUCAGUUCCUCUCCAAACCCAAAUAGAUGGACCUGGUGAUAAAAUCCUCGACAAAUGGAUCUCAGCAGUCAUUGCUGCAGGCUCCCCUUUCUGUCUGCAACACUCAUUUAAAAGGAUAUUCACAGUUUAGGACAAACCUCUCCCCUGCCAUGUCCUGGUCUGGCCUCCUGGAAUCCCAUCCCCAGGUUCUCCCACCCCUCAUUUUGUGUGAUGUGUCAGGUUUUGCAACAGAAUACAGGGAUAUUCUUUGGAAACCCAAAUAUUGUCUUGUCCCCCUGGACACUGGGUGGUGGUGGAAUGUGUCCUUGGUUGUACAGUCACCUCCAGUCCCACAAAACCUGACCCCACUCAUUCAUCUGCUUUGCAGUAUUAUCCUAAAUUCCUCUCCUAACCCAAACAGAUGGAUGUGGUGAUAAAAUCCUCGACAGAUGAGUCUCAGCAGUCAUUGCUUCAGCCUCCCCUUUCUGUCUGCAACACUCAUUUCCUACCCCACUGCACAGCCCUUUUCCCUCCUCCCUCCUGCUGCUGCCUCAGCCCCCGAGGAAAUCAAUUUUCCAUCCUUCCCUCAUGCCACAGUGACUCAAGAUUUCACCAGCUCCCUUUUUGAGGCUUAUUUCGUUUAGUUUGGGGUGAUGGAUGAGAUCUCUGGCACCUAUUUCUGUGCAGAAUUCCGCUGUGG